AUUGCCCUAGUAACGGCGAGUGAAGCGGCAAAAGCUCAGAUUUGAAAUCUGUCGCCAUUUUGGCGUCCGAGUUGUAGUCUGUAGAGGUGUAUUCGAGUGUGGCUUUGGCUUAAGUUCCUUGGAACAGGGCGUCAUAGAGGGUGAGAACCCCGUCAACGGCCUUUGUCUUAUGCUCAUGUGAAUCUCCUUCAACGAGUCGAGUUGUUUGGGAAUGCAGCUCUAAAUGGGUGGUAAAUUCCAUCUAAAGCUAAAUACUGGCAAGAGACCGAUAGCGCACAAGUAGAGUGAUCGAAAGAUGAAAAGAACUCUGAACAGAGAGUUAAAUAGUACGUGAAAUUGUUGAAAGGGAAGCACUUCCGACCAGACGCACUUGCAGCCGAUCAAUCUUCAUUCUUGGAGGUGCACUCGGUUGUUUGUGGGUCAGCAUCAGUUAUGGCGGUGGGAAAAAGACUGAGGGAAUGUGGCUCCUUUAGGGGAGUGUUAUAGCCUUUGGUGCAAUGCUGCCUGCCGUGACUGAGGACCGCGCUU
Molecule: ribosomal RNA, 528 nt
Filed under: Legaliana alaskana
Lineage: Eukaryota; Fungi; Ascomycota; Pezizomycetes; Pezizales; Pezizaceae
Description: partial 28S ribosomal RNA
Rfam family: Eukaryotic large subunit ribosomal RNA
Source: RNAcentral